CAAACGACAACCACUGAAUUACAGGCUCCUGACUUGGGACAGGCACAUACAUAAAUAAUGUGGCGGGGUUAAACAUGUUAGCGGAAUCCCAUCCCUCCCCCUAACCUGGGACAGUGCUAUAACAGUACAACAUAAGAAUUGAACGAACUAUAAAAAUCAGUUGAAAAAGGCUUAGCUCAUCAGAUGGAAAAAAAAUACAAGUGGACGUGGCCGGGUACGUACAUGUAUACAUCCCGAAACAAAAAGACACAAUGAACAGAUCUGAGAGUACUCGCAGUUUUCUUACAGUUAGUUC
Molecule: long non-coding RNA, 295 nt
Filed under: Mytilus galloprovincialis (Mediterranean mussel)
Lineage: Eukaryota; Metazoa; Mollusca; Bivalvia; Mytilida; Mytilidae
Source: RNAcentral